RNA transcript from Malurus melanocephalus (red-backed fairy wren), 3334 nucleotides. It is a transcript of the gene named protein-glucosylgalactosylhydroxylysine glucosidase, with no coding region annotated. Lineage: Eukaryota; Metazoa; Chordata; Aves; Passeriformes; Maluridae. The transcript has 14 exons. The record is from RefSeq and is a predicted model, not a curated record.
UCCGCAGGUGGGGUGGCAGCGAUGGCUGAUGGUGACCCUGGCGAGGGCAAUCCCGGCGUGUUCACAGCCACAGCCCUGCCCACGGACCCGCGGCUGCUGCCCACACUGACCAAUGCCUUCCUGGGUACCCGUGUGUUCCGGGACACCCUGCACGCCGCCGGCGUGUACAGCGGGGCCGCGGGGGACACGCACCGCGCCGAUGUCCCCAGCCCGCUGGGGCUGCGCAUGGCAGCGCCCGGUGCCCGCAGCCUGUCCGAGAGCUUCACCCUGGACACCUGGACAGGCACCUUCAGCCACACCAUUCGGGCCCCUGGCUACACGGCCACCCACCAGCUCUUUGCCCACUACUCCCUGGUGCACCUGAUGGCCUCCAGCAUCACCAUCCGCCGCUUGGAUGGCUCCACACAUCCCAUCACCRUCCAGCUCCAGAGCCUGUUUGUGCCACAGAGCCAGGACCUGGACCUCACCCCGGGGCCGGAUUUCCAGGGAGCGCACUACAUCCACGGGCGGACGCUGGUUCCCGAGGUGGAGGGGGGCCCCCGUCCCGCCGUGCACAUGCUGUGGACCCCCAUCCCGCAGUGGCUGACGCUGGGCGGGGAGGAGCGGGAGCGGCGCUGGGACUUGCUGGUGGCCGUGGCGGGGAGCGAGGAGGAGGCGCAGCGGAGCUACAGCGCGGGGCUGUCGCUGGCAGCCGAGGGGACCCUGCUCUGCUCACACACCCGUGCCUGGGCCGAGCUGCGCCGGGGCUGCUCCGUGCGGCUGGACGGGCCCCCGGCCCUGCGCCAGGCGCUGCACGGCUGCCUCUUCUACCUGCUGAGCGCCAUCCCGCCCCGGGACUGCCCGGAGCUCCCGUUCCACGGCAUCAGCCCCGGCGGYUUGUCCAACGGCAGCCGCGGCGAGGACUACUGGGGACACAUCUUCUGGGACCAGGACACCUGGAUGUUCCCGAACAUCCUGCUGCUGCGCCCCGAGGCUGCCCGCGCCAUCCUGCGCUACCGGAUCCGCACGCUGGAGGGAGCGAGGCGCAACGCGCGGGAGCAGGGCUACGAGGGUGCGAAGUUCCCGUGGGAGAGCGCAGCCACUGGUCGGGAAGUCUGUCCCGAGGAGAUCUACGGAGCRCAGGAAAUCCAUGUCACCGGCGAUGUCCUGCUGGCCUUUGAGCAGUAUUACCGCACCACGCAGGACCUGAAGCUGUUCCGGGAGGACGGUGGCUGGGAGCUGGUGGAAGCUGUGGCGCAGUACUGGUGCAGCAGGAUGGUGUGGAGCGAGGAGGAGCAGCUCUACCACAUCAGAGGUGUCAUGCCCCCGGACGAAUACCACAGCCAUGUGGAUAACUCUGCCUAUACCAACGCCGUGGCCCAGCACAGCUUGAAUUUUGCCGCUGACAUGGCUCGGGAGCUGCUGCUGCCGGUGCCAGAGGAGUGGGAGGAGCRUGCCAGGAAAAUCAAAGUGCCCUUUGAUGAGGAGAGGAAGUAUCACCCUGAGUACGAUGGCUACAGCCCAGGUGAGCCGGUGAAACAGGCAGACGUGGUCCUGCUGGGCUUCCCCCUGAUGCACCCCAUGAGUGCCGAGGUGCGCAGGAACGACCUGGAGAUGUAYGAGCCCAUCACCGACCCGGCGGGACCAGCCAUGACCUGGAGCAUGUUUGCCAUGGGCUGGCUGGAGCUCAAGGAGCCRCAGAGAGCCUGGACCCAGCUGGAAAAGUGCUUCAGCAACAUCACAGAGCCCUUCAAGGUCUGGGUGGAGAACUCGGAYGGCUCGGGAGCUGUGAACUUCCUGACGGGGAUGGGGGGAUUCCUGCAGGUCAUCCUCUUCGGCUUCACAGGGUUCAGGAUCACGAGGUCCGGCCUCCUCUUCGAUCCCACCUUUCCCGACGAUGUCACCAAGCUGGAAAUCUCCGGAGUCUCCUACUUGGGCAACAAACUGGCGUUCACCAUCACCGGGGAGGAGAUCAGGGUGGAAGUGACUGAGACCUCCCAGGACCUGCCAGCAUCRCCCCUGGAAGCGGUGCUGGAGUCAGGGCAGCGCUUUCCCCUGCGGGAAGGACAGAGGAUCUCCUUCCCCACAGCUCCUGGCCGGUUCCAGAGGUCACCCAGCAGGACCCCUUAACCUCGGCUGGUCCGGGCAUUGCCCAGCACAGCAGCAGCAGAUCUGGGAUUUUGGUGGGGGAGGGGGAAGGGAAUGGAGGCUCCCGAGCUGUGCCAGGCGGCCUUUGCCCCCUGAGGACUGUGUGUGCCACCUGUCCUUGUGUGCCACCCAUCCYUGUGGCCCUGGGGCUGUCCCCAUGGCUGGGGGUCACCACAUCUGAGCCCCCCCACUCGACUCCACACAUCUCUGACUCGGCACGGGAGAGGAAUCCAAGCCUGAAAAUGACCAUUUAAAAUGCGUAAUGACCAUUUCAAACACGUUUCCCCAGGUUGGGCAGGGUUGUUAUGCUCUCGGCGUGUUUGUGUUUGGAAGGAAGCCCCUUCCCGCCUCCAGGAUCCUGACUCCAGCUCCUUCAGCGUGUCCUGCCCUGCUCCUCACCUUCCCCCUGUGCUGCUCUGUGGGCUCAAGGGACCGUGGAGUGCUGUUUCACCAGAUGAGCAGUUUUUUGGCUCUAAAUAUCACUCCAAAAWACGCAGCCAAAAGCCUUUUAGCCCUGUGCAGGCAGCACACGGCUCCUUUCCUGUUAUUCGGGCUGCAGGAAGCCUGGACAUCGGUGAUCUGUGGUAUUGUCCUGUCGGAUGGCGACGAGGGCGGCAUUUUUCAGUGCCUGAGCAGCCUCGGGGCAAGCAAAGAUCUGCUACGGCAGUCUUUAGUGUCUCAGAAAACCCAAAAAAAUUAUUGUGCCUGCGCAGCAUCCUCCCUCCCACACCCUCCCUGCUCCCGGGGUGGAAUCGGUGAAAGCCGAAGGCGUUCCCUGCCCCGAGGGGUCUMUCCCGGCCAAGCUAACCCCAGGAAUCUCGGCCCGGUUUAUAAAAAGCCCCGCGGCAUCUGGGAAUGCUUAGGGCUGGAGCGGAGACUGUCCCGCUGCUGCCGUGUCAUUACUCGGGUUCUGCUCGCCCCGUCAGAGCCACCAGCCCCUCAUUAGCGGUGGCUCUUGGCAGGACAGAGGGACCCUGCUGUCCCCAGACACGGGCGCUGCGCCCGGCUUGGGAUUUGGAUGGGGCUGAGUGAAGUCUCGCUCUGAGCUGGGGUUAGUUGGCAGUAAAGGAAGUUCAUCGUCAACAAAGGGAUCCUUUAGUCCCAAACUGAGCCRUCUCAGCCCGGCAGGGAGAGCAGGGAGCAGUGGGAGUGCAUCCCGAACUCCCCCCGUGUCCUGGCUGGGGUUGUCUGUGUUGCUGUGAUGAAU